RNAcentral lists this ribosomal RNA (654 nucleotides) under uncultured bacterium. RNAcentral's name for it is "bacterial SSU rRNA". It matches the Rfam family "Bacterial small subunit ribosomal RNA", at positions 152 to 823 of the family's 1533-position model. The record is from RNAcentral.
AGAAAUAGGUGCUAAUACCGCAUAAGCGCACGGCUCCGCAUGGGGCAGUGUGAAAAACUCCGGUGGUAUGAGAUGGACCCGCGUCUGAUUAGCUGGUUGGUGAGGUAACGGCCCACCAAGGCGACGAUCAGUAGCCGACCUGAGAGGGUGGCCGGCCACAUUGGGACUGAGACACGGCCCAAACUCCUACGGGAGGCAGCAGUGGGGAAUAUUGCACAAUGGGGGAAACCCUGAUGCAGCAACGCCGCGUGAGUGAAGAAGUAUUUCGGUAUGUAAAGCUCUAUCAGCAGGGAAGAAGAAAGACGGUACCUGACUAAGAAGCCCCGGCUAACUACGUGCCAGCAGCCGCGGUAAUACGUAGGGGGCAAGCGUUAUCCGGAUUUACUGGGUGUAAAGGGAGCGUAGACGGCCGAUCAAGUCUGGAGUGAAAGCCCGGGGCCCAACCCCGGGACUGCUCUGGAAACUGGUGGGCUAGAGUGCUGGAGAGGUAAGUGGAAUUCCUAGUGUAGCGGUGAAAUGCGUAGAUAUUAGGAGGAACACCAGUGGCGAAGGCGGCUUACUGGACAGUAAAUGACGCUGAGGCUCGAAAGCGUGGGGAGCAAACAGGAUUAGAUACCCUGGUAGUCCACGCCGUAAACGAUGAUCACUAGGUGU